AUGAAUGGUGUCACGAAGGUCUCACUGUCUUAAGAAAAUUCCCAGUGAAAUUGAAUUUGUAGUGAAGAUGCUACAUCCAAAUUGUUAGACGAGAAGUCCCCAUGGAACUUUACUGGAGGCCUAUGUAGCUUGAUGGUCUUACAAAUAAAUAGUUUGAUUAUGUGGUGUUAUCCUCAGUUGAGGGUAGUAAAGCCCACUCUUUUAUUUUAAGAAAGCAAAGGGGGUAGGUCAGACAGUUUGGUUGGGGCGACCGCCUUUUAAAAAGUAACGAAGGUGGGCUUAAGAUACAUAUUAUAAUAACUGUUGUCUGACUGCAAAAGGGGGGCCUUGAGCAGACACUAGUUGUGGUGGGUUGUAGUGACCCGUUAAUUUAAGGUGAAAUAGUUAACGAUAAACAGAUAAAAGUUC
RNAcentral lists this ribosomal RNA (408 nucleotides) under Rhombopsammia niphada. RNAcentral describes it as "partial 16S ribosomal RNA". It matches the Rfam family "Bacterial large subunit ribosomal RNA", at positions 1992 to 2465 of the family's 2925-position model. Lineage: Eukaryota; Metazoa; Cnidaria; Anthozoa; Scleractinia; Micrabaciidae. The record is from RNAcentral.